This is a long non-coding RNA of Thalassophryne amazonica, 648 nucleotides long. RefSeq lists it as uncharacterized. The record is from RefSeq and is a predicted model, not a curated record. Lineage: Eukaryota; Metazoa; Chordata; Actinopteri; Batrachoidiformes; Batrachoididae. The transcript is spliced from 2 exons.
GUUAGUUAACUGAGUUGCUUUUUUUUUUUCCGAUCACAACUCUGACAUCUUGGUCCUUCGAAAGCCGGAUACCAAUAGACCAGAAUGGUGGUUGGCCCGUGACGGAGGACCCCGUUGGAAGACCGUGGCCACGGCCGGGACUAGUUCCCGCAGACCCUUUUCCGGGGGGACGGGUCUCCUCCCUAACAGGUCGGUGAAGGCAUACGGACUUCAGCGACAUUGCAUGAUCACGGGGCCCUGACAAUCAUAUCCAGAUUGGCGACUGGGUGCUGAUAAAGACUAUUAAGAGAAAGAACUGGUCAUCUCCGAGGUGGAAAGGCCCAUUCCAAGUGCUGCUAACCACCCCCACUGCAGUGAAAAUCGCAGAGAGGUCAUGUUGGGUGCAUCUAUCCCACUGUAAAAGACAAAGAUACCUGAAAGAUCCUGAACUAUACAAGGGGAGUGACGUGUCAUAAGCGCGUCAUAACAGAGACAGAGAGUGACCAGGAGUGAACAAAGACAAAGACCAGAGGUUGAAGCAGAUACCAGGGUCCUGAAGCAGACGAGUAACCAGCUGUGACCAAGGAGAGGUCUGUCAACUUGAACAAGGAUCAGAAGCAGACGUACUACAAGCUUGAAAUACAGCACUGACGUGACCAGACCAGGAGA